This 599-nucleotide long non-coding RNA is filed under the name Cicer arietinum (chickpea). RNAcentral describes it as "long non-coding RNA (CARI_LNC000493)". The record is from RNAcentral. Lineage: Eukaryota; Viridiplantae; Streptophyta; Magnoliopsida; Fabales; Fabaceae.
GAAAAGGUUAGACAGAAAGAGUACAUGCGUGAGAGAGGGAGAGUGUCAUAGCACUUUUUAUUGUUGUUUUGAUGGUAGUAGAAAGAUGAUGGUUUGUAUGAUUGGGGUUGUUGAUAGCUACAAGAUGGAAACGUGUUGGUGUGAUUUAACCUAAUUUCUUACUUAUUCUACAUUUCUCAUUUUUUAUAUCUUUUAUUUGUGUUUUCUUUCUCUGGUGUCAUCUUUCAAAAAAAAAAACUCCUCUAUUUAAUUUUUAGUUUUUAAUUUGUAGGCUAUAAAGAUAUAUCUUUGUGUUCAUGAGAUAAAUUAAGUUCUGAUUUUUUUAUUGUUUUCCAAAAUUAAUGGAAUAAGUGAAGGAUUGGACUUCCACAUUUUGAUGGAGUACAAUUUUGGUGAAGAUGCACGAUGAGGGAAACAAUGCAGCUGAAAAUGUGGAAGACGGAGGCGUAUAGCCCUUUUAUUUCUACCAAAAACAUUACUUUUAUUUGUUUGUUAGUUAAUGUUAUUUUUUUUUUAUCUUUUACUAAUUUACUAUAUUUAUGAUGUAAAUUAGACACUUUAUUAAAGUAUCAAUGAAAAUGUGAGCUUAAUUAUUGGAC